UCGAGCUUGCUCUUCUUGGUCAUGACCCUUGGUUCCUGUGUUGCCUUCCCAUCGUAUGGAAAAAUUCGUGAGACAGCCCCGCACCUGUCCUCGUUGUGGCUUUGCGGCUCCGAUGCGGACCUCGAAAGCGGUCCUCGUGUCCCGGGCAUAUCCUCUGACUUUUGUCGUGGUGGUCUCGGUCCACAGGACAACUGCUCGUGCUCCCGGAUGUGGAAAACUAAGCGGACGUGGGGGGGGGGGGGGGUCUCGGCCUCCGGCUGCUCCAAUCUAGUCCCUCGACAAGAAUGACUCUCGCUGCCCCAUCGACGGCCUGCGGCAUCGAUGCGGGUCCGAAGUCGAGAAAGAAUGCUACCUGGUUGAUCC
RNAcentral lists this unclassified non-coding RNA (363 nucleotides) under Ficus pedunculosa. RNAcentral's name for it is "partial contains external transcribed spacer and 18S ribosomal RNA". Lineage: Eukaryota; Viridiplantae; Streptophyta; Magnoliopsida; Rosales; Moraceae. The record is from RNAcentral.